CUAGACUAAUUUGUUUUCCUACCCAUUUGCUCUGUCUCGGCAUCCUCACUUCUCCUGUAAGCUCAAUCACUCAACUCACAUUUGAGGAAAGGUUCUCCAAUUCUUUCAACUCCAACCACUACUUUUGUCAAGCCACAGAUCCUUUGACUCCUCUGACCACCUCUUCCUUUACUGUAGGUAUAGGCUACCUUUUCUCUGUCUGCCUAUUCUCAUCUUUCCUUCUACAUCUUAUCCCAUUGCUCUGCUGUGGACAUGACGGGAAAUUGAAGUCGGUAACAAAAAUUUAGUUACACCAUAGACAAGCCAGAAAAUUAUUGUCUAUUUUUUUUUUUUGGCCUUUUGUGUUUCAAAAAACUGUCGUCACUCGUGAGGAAAAUCCUUAAUCUCUCCCAUUUUCUUCCUGGGCUGCUUCAAUUUUUCUACACUUUCGGCCAAUAUACAUGCUUUAUGUAUUUUGAAGAUAUAUAUUAUCUUAAAGAGCUGAAAGGCGUCAUCAUUGUUUGAAUCUAUGGAACAACUUGUGAACUUCAUCAUCUAGCCACCAAGGGAUCAAGGAUUGAUGUUGAAUUAUGGUGAAGAGAAGGAGAAAUGAUAUGUAUUCUUUUAGAAGAAAGAGACAGAAUAAUCAACCUCAAACUAUAGGACUUGCUGAGUUGCUGCCAUCGACAUUGCUAGAGCAAGGAACCAAAGAGUCCUCUACAUAAGCUCAGUGAUGUAGAAGGAAUAAUUGAACUCAACAAUGGUGACCUAGAACUAAUGAAGAUGGGAUUGGUGGUGCUUAAUAUGUUUAAAGCAUCGAGUCCCUGCAGACCCACAAGCACAGCGGUGAUGAUGAAGAAGAAUAACAACUGAACUAACACCACAUGGAGUUGAGAUUAGUGCUGGAUAUCCACAAUCUUUGGAAGCAGUAAACUGAACGGAGUUAAAGAUGAAGAGAAAGAAUGAGAGUUCAGAUGAUCUUUCCACAAAGAGCUCAGAUCUUUUUGUACUUGAGAGACUUAUUAUUCAACUAGAGUCCAGCCAAAAGAAGUGCAAUGUACUAGCAGGGACAUCUCACCCGUAGAUUUCGAGCUGCCUUCUGUCAUUAUUUAAAUUGAAACUAAUGUAUGCUUACAGCUAGCAAUAUAUAUAUAUAUAUAUAUAUAUAUCCAUUGAUAGGAUGUCUUUUUAAAGGAUGGCGAUAUGGAAGGACACCUUGAGUAUUGUGUAAUGAAAUCUACAACCUACGCAUUGAUUUUUUGCUUUUCCUAUAUCAUAAAUAAUAUGAUAGCAUGUAAUAUAUUAAGGUUACAUAGUUUAUCCAUCAGUUAGUUUCUAUUGCACAGUAAUAUUUUUCUGUUUGCUUUUUAAAAAAGGUCCCAUCAGCCUAUUUUGCCCUCUUUCAUGGUUUGUAUUUGGUACACAGGACUUAACUCAUUACAUUGUAUCAAUGGAUGGGCUGAUCUCACAUGUUCUCUUGCCUAUUUUGACCAGGACAUGCUUUAAAAUUACACUGAUAUUCUUGCAUGUUCCUACCUCGAUUCCAUUGAUGCAUUGCUGGAUCUGUUUUCUUCUUUCAGUUUGUUCUUUACAAUAUUUGUCUGUUGUUUUGAUUGGCAUCAUGACUCGUGACACAAAAGUUCCUCUUCAGCUUUGUUUGGUGAUAGAAAUAGGCAAGCUGCUUUUUGUAAGCCAUUAAAGAAAAAUGAGAAAGACUAAAAGAAUGCUGUGUGAGUAUGGUGGCUAUACUAUUCCCUGUUACAAUAAUAGUUUUUUAUUCCUAUAAAUAAAUUAGCUUGAGCAAGUUUAUAGGAUGAGUUAGUCACGAGCCUUUGCAGAGUUGUUUUACAGUAUUCUAGAUUCUACAAUUUAGUUGUUUAUCUUUGGAGAAUAAUUUUAUUCUAUGGA
This is a long non-coding RNA of Prosopis cineraria, 1887 nucleotides long. RefSeq lists it as uncharacterized. The record is from RefSeq and is a predicted model, not a curated record. The transcript has 6 exons. Lineage: Eukaryota; Viridiplantae; Streptophyta; Magnoliopsida; Fabales; Fabaceae.